Molecule: transfer RNA, 69 nt
Filed under: Marmota monax (woodchuck)
Lineage: Eukaryota; Metazoa; Chordata; Mammalia; Rodentia; Sciuridae
Description: tRNA.Ala
Source: RNAcentral
GGCUGUGACUCAGCGGUAGAGUGCUUGCCUAGCAUGUGCGAGGCCCUGGGUUUGAUCCUCAGCAUGACA